This 432-nucleotide ribosomal RNA is filed under the name uncultured bacterium. RNAcentral describes it as "partial 16S ribosomal RNA". It matches the Rfam family "Bacterial small subunit ribosomal RNA", at positions 29 to 506 of the family's 1533-position model. The record is from RNAcentral.
AACGAACGCUGGCGGCAUGCCUAACACAUGCAAGUCGAACGAGACCUUCGGGUCUAGUGGCGCACGGGUGCGUAACGCGUGGGAACCUGCCCUUAGGUUCGGAAUAACUCCCCGAAAGGGGUGCUAAUACCGGAUAAUGUCUUCGGACCAAAGAUUUAUCGCCUUUGGAUGGGCCCGCGUUGGAUUAGCUAGUUGGUAGGGUAAAAGCCUACCAAGGCGACGAUCCAUAGCUGGUCUGAGAGGAUGAUCAGCCACACUGGGACUGAGACACGGCCCAGACUCCGACGGGAGGCAGCAGUGGGGAAUAUUGGACAAUGGGCGAAAGCCUGAUCCAGCAAUGCCGCGGGAGUGAUGAAGGCCUUAGGGUUGUAAAGCUCUUUUACCCGGGAUGAUAAGGACAGUACCGGGAGAAUAAGCUCCGGCGAACUCCGG